AUUGAACGCUGGCGGCAUGCCUUACACAUCCAAGUCGAACGGCAGCACGGGGGCAACCCUGGUGGCGAGUGGCGAACGGGUGAGUAAUACAUCGGAACGUGCCCAGUCGUGGGGGAUAACGUAGCGAAAGUUACGCUAAUACCGCAUACGAUCUCUGGAUGAAAGCGGGGGACCGCAAGGCCUCGCGCGAUUGGAGCGGCCGAGGGCAGAUUAGGUAGUUGGUGGGGUAAAAGCUUACCAAGCCUCCGAUCUGUAGCUGGUCUGAGAGGACGAUCAGCCACACUGGGACUGAGACACGGCCCAGACUCCUACGGGAGGCAGCAGUGGGGAAUUUUGGACAAUGGGCGAAAGCCUGAUCCAGCAAUGCCGCGUGCAGGACGAAGGCCUUCGGGUUGUAAACUGCUUUUGUACGGAGCGAAACGGCUUCCACUAAUACUGGGGGCUAAUGACGGUACCGUAAGAAUAAGCACCGGCUAACUACGUGCCAGCAGCCGCCGUAA
This 500-nucleotide ribosomal RNA is filed under the name uncultured bacterium. Its description in RNAcentral is "partial 16S ribosomal RNA". It matches the Rfam family "Bacterial small subunit ribosomal RNA", at positions 30 to 523 of the family's 1533-position model. The record is from RNAcentral.